This 301-nucleotide ribosomal RNA is filed under the name uncultured bacterium. RNAcentral describes it as "partial 16S ribosomal RNA". It matches the Rfam family "Bacterial small subunit ribosomal RNA", at positions 509 to 807 of the family's 1533-position model. The record is from RNAcentral.
CAGUAGCCACGGUAAUACGUAGGUGGCAAGCGUUGUCCGGAAUUAUUGGGCGUAAAGCGCGCGCAGGUGGUUUAAUAAGUCUGAUGUGAAAGCCCACGGCUCAACCGUGGAGGGUCAUUGGAAACUGUUAAACUUGAGUGCAGGAGAGAAAAGUGGAAUUCCUAGUGUAGCGGUGAAAUGCGUAGAGAUUAGGAGGAACACCAGUGGCGAAGGCGGCUUUUUGGCCUGUAACUGACACUGAGGCGCGAAAGCGUGGGGAGCAAACAGGAUUAGAUACCCGAGUAGUCCCUGUCUCUUAUAC